Herpailurus yagouaroundi (jaguarundi) is the source of this 878-nucleotide long non-coding RNA. RefSeq lists it as uncharacterized. Lineage: Eukaryota; Metazoa; Chordata; Mammalia; Carnivora; Felidae. The record is from RefSeq and is a predicted model, not a curated record. The transcript has 3 exons.
GCUUCUACCUGUAAUCUCCUGCCUGUUUCCUCCAAGACUGGGCCCCAGGCUUGGGCAAGGGUGAUUCACCCACUUCUGUAGGAGGAAAGAGGACGUCGAAUGACAGCUACCAGCCCUGACCUAAGGAAUCAGAAUCUCUGGGGUAGGGCUCUGGCAGCUACAUUUUUUUAUCCCCUCCCUCACACACCCAGGUAGCUCUGUGUCCACAUGGCUUUGCUAAUUGCUCUCUUCUCUGUGAUCGAACCCCCUGAAGCUUGGCGUUACUAGUAGAAGGACAGUUUCCUAAUGGGGCUUUUGUUCUGAUGACCCACGAAGUAUCACCUGUGAACUUGUGGUAGGCAUGACACGGAUCCCCACCAAAACGCCCGUGUUCUAGUUCCUGGAAUCUGUGCAUGUGCUAUCUUCCCUGGCAGAAGGAGUUUUGCAGGUAAGUGCUCACCCUGAAUAUCCAGGUGGGCCUAAUCUAAUCAUGUGAGCCCUUAAAAGAGAACUUUCAGAGGAAGAGGUGACUGCAGAAGAACGGCCAAAGGGAUACAAUGUGACUUUGAAGGUGGACGAGGGGGCCAUGGCCAAAGAACGUGAGCAGCCUCUAGGAGAUGAAAAAGACCAAGAAACUGAUUCUCCCCGAGAACUUCUGGAAAGGAACACAGCCCAGAUGGCACCUUAAUUUUAGCCAGUGAGACCUGAGUAGGACUUCUAACCUGCAGAACUGCAAGGGAAGUCUUCUCUAUAUUGGAAAAGUUCUCCUUUACUUAUCUAGAACCAAAUCUGGCUGCCAAGGAUCACAGAAUCACACCACAGGCCAGAGGGAAGACCCCUGGAUAUGACAUUUUUAAGUAAGCGACAUGCAGAAGAAUGAACCUGGACCACUGUCUUAC